ACACACACACACACAUUGAAGUACAUGCGUGCCCAACGGAGUAGAAUUGCAUGAAGUGGAGUAGAGUAUAAUGCAGCCAAGGAUGACUUGCCGGAACGUUGUUAAUCAUACGUAUAAAUUAUGUGAUGAACAUAUUUCUGGCAAGUUGUCCUUCGGCUACAUUUUGCUCUCUUCUUCUCAUGCAAACUCUCUUUGGGAUAUUCUACUUUUUCAUUCUUUCUAAUUGACGAUGUGAAUCGGAAUAACAAGACGACGCUGGUAUUGAUCAGAACUCCAUCGACGGGGUAGAGACGGGCCUGGAUGAUUCUAACUUCUCGUUGGCUUGCAUUAACCUAAUCUAAACAAAAGUUCCGAAAGGUUACAACACACGGACCAAAGCGGAUGGGAACAUACGAAGCCAACACACUGUCGUUUUUGGCAUUCUCAUUCAUGAACCACUCGUAGGUUGUUUUCUUAGUGAUCAACUCAGAUGUAAUUUUACGUAAAAAUCAAGGAAAAAUAUAUAAAAGCGAUGAAGAAAAGAGAAAAGAAGCCGAAAUUUGUGGAAUAUGUUGAAAUGUGCGUUGUCGGUUUUUAGAAUCUAAGGUACUGUGAGCCGACAAAAGUAGAGAUGGAAUAAAGAUUUUGGUCAGGCAAUCAUAAAUAUCCAAAUCUUUGUGCAUUUAACAAUGACACUCAUCAUCACUUUCCUCUUUUAAUAUGUCUCAGCUUUUAGUUA
Arabidopsis lyrata subsp. lyrata is the source of this 718-nucleotide long non-coding RNA. RefSeq lists it as uncharacterized. The transcript has 2 exons. Lineage: Eukaryota; Viridiplantae; Streptophyta; Magnoliopsida; Brassicales; Brassicaceae. The record is from RefSeq and is a predicted model, not a curated record.